GGAUUAGAUACCCUGGUAGUCCACGCUGUAAACGAUGAUUACUCGAUGCUGGCGAUACACAGUCAGUGUCCAAGCGAAAGCGUUAAGUAAUCCACCUGGGGAGUACGGUCGCAAGAUUGAAACUCAAAGGAAUUGACGGGGGCCCGCACAAGCGGUGGAGCAUGUGGUUUAAUUCGAUGAUGCGCGAGGAACCUUACCAAGGCUUGAAUGUAAGUUGAUCGUCUGUGAAAGCAGUCUUUUCUUCGGAACAAUUUACAAGGUGCUGCAUGGUUGUCGUCAGCUCGUGCUG
RNAcentral lists this ribosomal RNA (289 nucleotides) under uncultured bacterium. Its description in RNAcentral is "partial 16S ribosomal RNA". It matches the Rfam family "Bacterial small subunit ribosomal RNA", at positions 775 to 1067 of the family's 1533-position model. The record is from RNAcentral.